RNAcentral lists this ribosomal RNA (495 nucleotides) under uncultured bacterium. RNAcentral's name for it is "partial 16S ribosomal RNA". It matches the Rfam family "Bacterial small subunit ribosomal RNA", at positions 28 to 507 of the family's 1533-position model. The record is from RNAcentral.
GACGAACGCUGGCGGCGUGCCUAAUACAUGCAAGUAGAACGCUGAAGGAGGAGCUUGCUUCUCUGGAUGAGUUGCGAACGGGUGAGUAACGCGUAGGUAACCUGCCUGGUAGCGGGGGAUAACUAUUGGAAACGAUAGCUAAUACCGCAUAAUAGUAGAUGUUGCAUGACAUUUGCUUAAAAGGUGCAAUUGCAUCACUACCAGAUGGACCUGCGUUGUAUUAGCUAGUUGGUGAGGUAACGGCUCACCAAGGCGACGAUACAUAGCCGGCCUGAGAGGGUGAUCAGCCAUACUGGGACUGAGACACGGCCCAGACUCCUACGGGAGGCAGCAGUAGGGAAUCUUCGGCAAGGGACGGAAGUCUGACCGAGCAACGCCGCGUGAGUGAAGAAGGUUUUCGGAUCGGAAAGCUCGGUUGUAAGAGAAGAACGAGUGUGAGAGUGGAAAGUUCACACUGUGACGGUAUCUGACCAGAAAGGGACGGCUAACUACGUG